RNAcentral lists this ribosomal RNA (486 nucleotides) under uncultured bacterium. Its description in RNAcentral is "partial 16S ribosomal RNA". It matches the Rfam family "Bacterial small subunit ribosomal RNA", at positions 28 to 507 of the family's 1533-position model. The record is from RNAcentral.
GAUGAACGCUGGCGGCGUGCCUAAUACAUGCAAGUCGAACGCUGGAGAUCUAGCUUGCUAGAUCGAAGGAGUGGCGAACGGGUGAGUAAUACAUAAGCAACCUACCCACGAAGACUGGGAUAAUCUCUGGAAACGGGGACUAAUACCGGAUAGGUAAUCGGAAGGCAUCUUCUGGUUAUUAAAGGUUAAAAACACUGGUGGAUGGGCUUAUGGCGCAUUAGUUAGUUGGUGAGGUAACGGCCCACCAAGACGAUGAUGCGUAGCCGGCCUGAGAGGGUGAACGGCCACAGUGGGACUGAGACACGGCCCAGACUCCUACGGGAGGCAGCAGUAGGGAAUUUUCGGCAAUGGGGGCAACCCUGACCGAGCAACGCCGCGUGAGUGAAGACGGCCUUCGGGUUGUAAAGCUCUGUUGUAAGGGAAGAACGGUAGAUAGAGAAUAUCUAAGUGACGGUACCUUACCAGAAAGCCACGGCUAACUACGUG